Non-coding RNA from Sus scrofa (pig), 6249 nucleotides. NCBI's taxonomy places the organism in Eukaryota, Metazoa, Chordata, Mammalia, Artiodactyla, Suidae. The record is from RefSeq and is a predicted model, not a curated record.
GGUUCCGGAUCGAGUCUAGCUUUGGGUGCGCCGGCCUGGCGAGUUUAGCAUUUUUGGCCUUCUGUGGGCGUCUUCUUGGGGGCUACAUGAGCCACUGUCAUCAUGCUCACAGACGCUGGAGCCAGAGUUGGGUCUACUCUGGUCAUUCCUCCGCCAAGAAGAAAGGUGGAAACCACAUCCCGGAAAGCAUGUGGAAGUUCCCCAGCCAGGGAUCGAACCUGCACUACAGCAGCAACCCACAGUGGUGAAAAUGCAGUGGUGAAAAUGCAGGAGCCUUAACCCGCUGAGCUACCAGAGGACUCACAUAAGGUGGAAAGACUAUCUCCCAGUUGGACAGCGGAUGCCUGGGACACGUUUCAUUGCUUUCAAAGUUCCUUUGAAAAAGAGUUUUGAAAAGAAACUUACUCCAGAAGAACGUUUUUCCCCCUUGGAUCUUUUUAACAAAAUCCAGGAACAGAAUGAAAAACUUGGACUGAUUAUUGAUUUAACAUAUACUCGCCGCUAUUAUAAACCAGAGGACUUACCAGAAACUAUUCGUUACUUAAAAAUUUAUACGGUUGGGCAUCAUGUACCUGAUGACAAGACUAUUUUUAAAUUCAAAUGUGCUGUUGAUGGGUUUUUGAAAGAAAAUAAAGAUAAUGGUGAGUUGCUUUUUUCCCCUUUACCUGAACUUUGGUAUGCAUUUUGAGUGGGGUUGGGGAUUUUUAAUAUUUUUAAUAAUUCUGACAUUAGUCCUGCUGUGUUUGAUAAUGUUAAGGUGGAAAUGUCAGAUGGGGCUAAUAGAGUAAGAUAUGUUUUUCCUUUUUAUGGUCACAGACAAUUUAGUUUGGAAAACGAUUUUUGUGAGAACUAAGAACUGAAUUAGCUUACUUGUCCUUUUUUUUAAGUUGAGUGGGGAAUAUAUAAUUAAAUAAAAUAUUCUUUUAUCCUAUUUAUUGGUUAACAGUUGAGAAGUAAAGAGUGAGACUCUUAGGUUCUUAGCGAAUAUAAAUGAGAAAACAAAAGGCAGAGGUUUGUAGUGAGACAGAUUCCUGGAAGCAGAGCAAGCAGAGUGGACCAGAGGAGUGGCAUCCUUGUCAUACCAGUUUAAAAUAUUUCUGCUGCUUUUUCCCUUUGAGGGCAAAUGAGGAAGGACACGACCACCUCUUAGUCUCGUCUUCAGACAGGAAGAACUUAAAAAGGUUGACAUUUUCUGUCCUCACUUUAAGAUUAAUAACCUUCCUUUAUUGAAAGUCUUAGUAGCUUCUGAGUUUGAAGGAUCGAUUUGCCAUUUUCCAGCAUCUAACUCUCAGAAGGAACAUGUAUUUAUUAUUUACUUUUGUCUUUUUAGGGCCACACCCAUGGCAUAUGGAAGUUCCCAGGCUAGGGGUCAGUCGGAGUUGUAGCUGCCGGCCUACACCGCUGGAUCCAAGCCUCAUCUGAAACCUGCACUACACUCACAGCAAUACUGGAUCCUUAACCCACUGAACAAGGCCAGGGAUCAAACCUGUGUCCUCAUCCUCAUGGAUGCUAGUCAGGUUUGUUAUCGCUGAGCCAUGAUGGGAAGUCCAGAAGGAACAUGGAUUUGGACUAAGGGAUCUUUUGUCUUUGGAACAGAAAUGAAUUAUAAAUUCAGAAAGAAGGCAAGUAUUCAUUUUGCCUUCCUUCUGAAUUUAGCCUGUGGAGUGUACCCUUUAUUAAAUAAAUCUGAAAGAUUGUAAUUAUUCCAUGUGUAUACAAAGCGAUAUCAUGUAUUCAUAGAAUAUAAGGAGUAGGGGAGAUGGCAUAGAGAUGGAGGUGGGAGGAUGGGGGUAGGAGGUGAGAGAGGGAGAGACUGCAAUUUUAAAAUAAAUUUUCUAUUUUUUUUUGUUUGGCUGCACCCACAGCAUGCCGGAGUUCCCGGGCCAGGGAUCUAACCUGAGCCAUAGCAGGGACAACACCGGAUCCUUAACCACUGGGCCACCAGGGAACUCUCAAGAUAAUUUUUCAAACUAUAACCUGAUUGCUUAAUGCAGGUACUAACUUAAAUAUCUUAAGCCCUACUCAAAGAUCUCCUCUGUACUUUAAAACUUAAGAGGCUUGGCCUUGCCCAUGAUAACCAGGGUGUCUACAAAAGAGGUAUAUUAUCUGAUUUAUAUAAACCAGUCACAGAAAUGUUACCUCUUUAAGAUGUUAGAGUACGGAUCCUCAUAUGUGCAUGAGAACAUGUUUGUGAGUCCUCAUGAGUGCGUGAGAUCCUCAUCAGUGUGUGAGAACACGUUUGUGGAUCUUGAUGGUUCACAUGUUACACCGUGUAGUCCACUGCAUAAGCUGAGCCCUCUGUUGGUCUUCUGCCUGCGUCGGGCUAACUUCACUGUGCUCUCCACCUUGGCAAUCUUGGGACCCUCCCUGUGAUCCAUUUUUGGCUUCCUCUGCUGUAAGCCCCUCCCACCAAUGCCAGGCUGACUGAUGAAGAGGAGGAGACUACACUAUCCACUCCCUAGGACUGGUAGCGACUCAAAAGAUAAACUGGUUGAUAAACAUUGAAAGCCUUUUAGGUCUGUGGUUGGGGCACAGGGAUAUAGAGGUGACCAAUAGGUUUUGUUACCUAGGAAGAUAAACAAGUAGUAACUGUGAGACAGUGGGUUAAUUAUAAUGAAAGAAUCAAGUGCAUCAGGAAAACGGGAAAGAUUGAGGAAAGGCCUGAGUGAGGACAGCAUUUGAGCUGGGCUUGGGAGGAAGAAUAUUUUGCCAGAAUGAGGAAAGGUAUUGGGAACAGGUGAUAGAAGGCAUGGGGCUUGAACUUGUAUGACCAGAGGGUAGUGGGAAAGGGCAGAGAAUUCACAUGUUCAUUUUCAGCAAAUAUUUAUAUACCACCUUCCAAGUUGAAGGCACUAUUCUAGGAAGUAGGAGCAAAAUAAAAUUCUUGCCCUUAUGUACUUUACAUUCUAGUCGGAGAGAGUAAAUAUAUGGAGUGUCAGGUGGUGGUAGGUGCUUUGGAGAAUAACAAAACAAGAUAAAGAGAUGGGGGAAUGUGGUAGGGGAUCAGGGAAGGCCUCUCUGUUAAGAUGUCAUUUGAGCAGAUCCUUAAAGGAAAUGAGGAACCAAGCCAUUGGUUACCUGAGAGAGUGUUCUUUUGAGAGGGGGAUGUGUAUUUUUAAUUUUUUCCAGUGUUACUGGGGUAUACUUGGCAAGUGAAAAUUGUAUAGAUUUAAGGUAUAUGACAUGAUAUUUGAAAUAUUGUUUUUAGUUUUAUCGAAGUAGAUUUUCAGGGUUGUGAUAGUUACUGCUGUACAACAAAGCGACUCAGUCAUAUGUAUACAUCUAUCCUUUUUUUUUUUUUUUUUGCUUUUUUUCAGGGCCCCAUGCAUGGCAUAUGGAAGUUCCCUGGCUAGGGGUCGAAAUGGAGUUAUAACUAUGGCGUACACCACAGCUCAUUGCAAUGCUGGAUCCUUAGCCCACUGAGCAAGGCUAGGAAUCAAAUCCGCAUCCUCAUGGAUAUUAGUUGGAUAUGUUUCCACUGCACCACAACGGGAACUCCCACAUGUCCAUUCUCUUUCAGAUUCUUUUCCCACAUAGAUUAUUCCAGACUUUUUUUUUUCCUUUUUAGGGCCACACUGGUAGCAUAUGGAAGUUCCUGGGUUAGGGAUCGAAUCGGAGCCGAAUCUGUGACCUGUGCUGCAGCUUGUGGCAAUUCUGAAUCCUUAUCCCACUGAGUGAGGCCAGAGAACGAACCCACAUCCUCACGGAGACAGAGUCUGGUCCUUAACCUGCUGAGCCACAACAAGAACUCCCUAAAGGAGUGUUCUAAAGCAGAGGAAAUAGUAGGUGCAAAGUCCCUGAGGCACAAUUAUGCUUGACAUGAUUGAGGAAUAGUAAGAAGGCCUGUGUGGGAGAGUGAGGGGAGGGUGAGCGAUUUCGGAGCGGUAGAAAAUGGGGUCACAGAGGCUGGCAGGGGAGAGAAGGGAGGUGGGUCACUUGGCUCCUUGUAAGUUGUAGUUUGAACUUGCAAUUCAGUUGGAGAGACAGAGUUCUAAAUGCUGUGCUAAAAAUUCAGGCUUUAUUCUGUGCUAAAUGAGGUUUAUUUUUGUUUUUUUGGGGGGCCACUCCGGCUGCAUGCAGAAGUUCUGGGACCAGGGAUCGAACCCGCGCCACAGCAGUGACAACGCCAGAUCCCUAACCCACUGUGCCACCAGGGAAUUCCUAAACGAGGAUUUUUAAGCAACGGAGCACCUCGGCCAAGUUUGUAUUCUAGAAAGAUAAUAUCUUCCCUGUGGAGGAUCAGUUGAAGUAGAGAUUAGAAGUAGGGCGGCAGAGGUCCUGGCAGGAGAUGCAGAGUGCCUUCCUGCCAGACACCCCCUCGUCACAGACAUGCUUUUUGCAGAGAUUGGCUACUUGUUGUUGGGAUUUUUUUAGCUGCGCCUGCCACUUACAGAAGUUCCUGGGCUAGGGAUUGAACCCGCACCUCAGCAGCAACCCAGGCUGCUUCAGGGAGUACUCCAGAUCCUUAACCCAGUGCACCACAAGGGAACUCUACAUGCUGUUUUUUGUUUACUUUCUCAUGUAAUUUUUGUAGAUGAUGGACUAAGAAAUACUGUGGCAUAGUUGGAAAAUCUGAGACUCGAUUCUAGUCUUUGUUGUUUUUUUUGCUUUUUAGGGCCGAACUUGUGGCAUAUGAAGUUCCCAGGCUUAGGGCUACAGCUAACACCACAGUCACAGCAACGUAGGAUCCCUGACCCACUCAACGAGGCCAGGGAUUGAACCCGCAUCCUCAUGGAUACCAGUCAGAUUUGUUUCUGAUGCGCCAUGGCGGGAACUCCCUAGUCUUUGGUCUGUUUGCCUGCUAUGCAGCUUGGCUUGACAUCGCCACGCCUUAAUUUUUUCAUCAUGAGACAGGAGCAGUGCUGUUUACCUCGAGAGCCCCUCAGGCACAUUAGACCCAUGGCGUUUGAGGAGCAGCAAUGAGGGAAGAUUCAGAAAUGCCCUGGCAACCCAAGAGCCCUUCAGAAACCAUUUGUCUUUUUUAACAUUAAUCGUUUAAAGUGAAGGCAUUCCAUUUUUUUUUUUUUCCCACUCCCUUUUUCUGUAGUCAGAUCAGUUCCCGAUGGGCAUUCUGUAUUAAGACAGGUGUUUGUCUCAGUGCAGUUUUAACUGUUAGUGCCAGACCAGGCCUGCUCCAGUCCACACCAUUGUGUCUGGUUGGAGGCUGUGCAAAACUUCCCAAAGACAAUGAAUUUUGACUUUAUAUUAGUUAAUUCUUUAGGAUAUGUUCCCACAAAAACACACUCUUCAGUUUUUCCUUUUUAGGAUAGUGGUAGUGUUUUAGUAACUAGUAAGUGCUGCUCUUCAAAAAAUUGUGUAACUUGUUUUUAGCGUAUCUACUUCACCUAUUUAAUUCUCUGUUCUGUUUUAUAGACAGACUGAUUGGUGUCCACUGUACCCAUGGCUUAAACAGGACUGGCUACCUCAUUUGCAGAGCUGUACCCAAGGCAUAGGGAGAUUUCCAGGCUAGGGGACGAAUUGGAGUUGCAGCUGCCGGCCUACACCACAGCAACAACAAUGCAGGAUCCAAGCCAUAUCUGCACCGUACACCACAGCUCACGGAAAUGCUGGAUCCCCGACCCACUGAGCAAGGCCAGGGAUCGAACCCCCAUCCUCAUGGAUACUAGUCGGAUUCAUUUCCACGGUGCCACAAUUCAAACUCCAGUAUUUGAUUGAUGUAGAAGGCAUGAAGCCAGAUGAUGCAAUUGAAUUAUUCAAUAGGAGCCGUGGACAUUGCAUAGAAAGACAAAACUACAUUGAAGACCUUCAGAGUGGUCCCAUCAGAAAAAAAUUUUCGCAGCAUCGGAACACUUACCAGAGAAGCCGUACUCCUCCUCCUGGUCCCCCCGGCGAGGACCAUUUCCAGAGGAGGUACUCUUGGAACGUAAAGCCAAAUACCAGUCACGCAACCCAGAACAAAAGGUGGUAUUCUAGCAGUUACCACAGACCAUCCUAUCCAAAGUACUAUGGAUGAACCGAGUGAGACAAACCUACGCUGGAGACAGAGCAAGACUGAAGACAGCUGGAGUGACUUUUUAUAGGAUCAGGUCAAAUGACGUUUAUAAUCUAUUUUACUGCUCCUUUAUGUGUUCAAGCCUAGGGAAAAAUUAUAUUGGUACUUAACCUUUGCUGAUAAAUUUGCAGUAUUUACAACAGUGAAGGCAAUAAUCUGUCAUUGAGUCUUAAAUUUUUUUAAAGGAAGAUAAGUAAAAGUAAUAAAGAAUUCCCCUUGUAAAUUAUUUUUUAAAA